Molecule: ribosomal RNA, 358 nt
Filed under: uncultured eukaryote
Lineage: Eukaryota
Description: LSU rRNA
Rfam family: Bacterial large subunit ribosomal RNA
Source: RNAcentral
UUUCGGGCUUUAUUUGCGCAGGAUAGGUGGGAGGCUUUGAGAGUGUUUUUGAGGGAACAUUUGAGCCAUUGGUGAGAUACCACUCUUAUAAAGCUAGAAUUCUAACCUUAUACCGUUAGCCGGUUAAGGAACAGUCUCUGGUGGGCAGUUUGACUGGGGCGGUCGCCUCCUAAAAGGUAACGGAGGCGCACAAAGGUUUCCUCAGAUCGGUCAGAAAUCGAUCGUAGGGCGUAAAGGCAUAAGGAAGCUUGACUGCGAGACCUACAAGUCGAGCAGAGACGAAAGUCGGUCUUAGUGAUCUGACGGUUCCGAGUGGAAGGGCCGUCACUCAACGGAUAAAAGUUACUCUAGGGAUAAC